AGCGAACGCUGGCGGCAUGCCUAACACAUGCAAGUCGCACGGGGGGGCUUCGGCCUCCCAGUGGCGGACGGGUGAGGAACGCGUAGGGACCUGUCGAGGGGUGGGGGAUAACCGCGGGAAACUGCGGCUAAUACCGCAUGACGCCGCGGCGUGACAGCCGGGGCCAAAGGCGAAAGCCGCCCGCCGAGGGGCCUGCGUCCGAUUAGCUGGUUGGCGGGGUAGCGGCCCACCAAGGCGUCGAUCGGUAGCUGGUCUGAGAGGGUGAUCAGCCACACCGGGACUGAGACACGGCCCGGACUCCUACGGGAGGCAGCAGUGGGGAAUAUUGGACCAUGGGCGCAAGCCUGAUCCAGCAAUGCCGCGUGGGUGAAGAAGGUCUUCGGAUUGUAAAGCCCUUUCGGCGGGGACGAUGGUGACGGUACCCGCAGAAGAAGCCCCGGCUAACUUCGUG
RNAcentral lists this ribosomal RNA (451 nucleotides) under uncultured bacterium. Its description in RNAcentral is "partial 16S ribosomal RNA". It matches the Rfam family "Bacterial small subunit ribosomal RNA", at positions 28 to 507 of the family's 1533-position model. The record is from RNAcentral.